AACUCCCUUCUCCCCUUGGUUCCCCAGAUCAAUCACAAGGCCUAACAGAUAUAGAAUUCCCUCCUGCCACAGGAAAGGCACUUUCUCUAAGCUGGAAGAGCAUGGAAGGGGCUCCUGUAAACUAAGGUGGCCUUGGAUUUGCUAUGAAGCGGAAGAUGAUCUUGACUUCCUGAACUUUCUGCCUCUGCCUUCAAAGUGCUGGGGUUACAGGAGGAAGUGACUAGCGCACGUAGGGGAUGCUGGAUAUGGGGCUGAGAGAAGCGCUGAGUCCAGUUUGGAAGACUGGGAGACAGCCUCAUCUUUCUUCUUUUGAGAUGGGGAGUCUGCUCAAGUGAUUCCCUCCAAGUCUCCUCAGUAGCUGGACUACGGGCACAUGCCAGCACAGCAAGGAAGACACCAAACCCAAUGGAUGGCAGAGGUCCCACGGCUGAGAUGCUUCAUCCCACAGGCCUCCUCUCCAGGACAAUUCACAAGCAAACUGCCCAUCUGUUCGAUGAAAGCCAGUUUCCGACCAAGUCUGCCUCUCUCUCCAACUCCACCUCAGCUCCCAGAAGGCCUAGCAUAGCUCUCCUUCCCAAAUGAUGUGUGUUACAAGUGAGAGCGGCAUAUGUAAGCUUAAAUUUUCUUGUAACCAC
Molecule: long non-coding RNA, 635 nt
Organism: Mesocricetus auratus (golden hamster)
Lineage: Eukaryota; Metazoa; Chordata; Mammalia; Rodentia; Cricetidae
Exons: 3
Source: RefSeq, a predicted model, not a curated record